UCGCGACCUAUCACCGUGUUGGUGGGGUAACGGCCUACCAAGGCAAUGACGGGUAGCUGGCGUGAGAGCGCGACCAGCCACAGUGGGAGUGAGACACGGCCCAGACUCCUACGGGAGGCAGCAGUGGGGAAUAUUGCGCAAUGGGCGAAAGCCUGACGCAGAGACCCCGGGUGGGGGAGGAAGGCCUCAGGGUUGUAAACCCCUGUCAGGUGGGACGAAGGCAGGUCGUCGAAUAGGUGGCUUGUUUGACGGUACCGCCGGAGGAACAUCCGGCUAACUCCGUGCCAGCAGCCGCGGUGAUACGGGGGGAGCAAGCGUUGUUCGGAAUUACUGGGGGUAAAGGGCGCGUAGGCGGCCGAGUAAGUCGCGUGUGAAAUGCCGGGGCUCAACCCCGUGCACUUCAUGUGAUACUGCUUGGCUCGAGAGAGGUAGGGGCGAGCGGAAUUCCCGGUGUAGCGGUGGAAUGCGUCGAUAUCGGGAAGAACACCAGUGGCGAAGGCGGCUCGCUGGACCUCUUCGCCCAUGAAGCGCGAAAGCGUGGGGAGCAAACAGGAUUAGAUACGGCAGUAGUUCACUCCGUAAACGACGGGCCAUCGGUGUUGGGGGGAUUGACCCUUUCAGCGCUGGUACUAAGGCAUUAAGUACCCAACCUGGGGAGUCCGGA
Molecule: ribosomal RNA, 664 nt
Filed under: uncultured bacterium
Lineage: Bacteria
Description: bacterial SSU rRNA
Rfam family: Bacterial small subunit ribosomal RNA
Source: RNAcentral